Molecule: ribosomal RNA, 447 nt
Filed under: uncultured bacterium
Lineage: Bacteria
Description: partial 16S ribosomal RNA
Rfam family: Bacterial small subunit ribosomal RNA
Source: RNAcentral
GUCGAGAAUCUUUCACAAUGGGGGCAACCCUGAUGGAGCGACGCCGCGUGGAGGAUAAGGUCUUCGGAUUGUAAACUCCUGUCAUGCGUGAACAAGGUUGCUUGGAUAAUACCUGAGCAAAUUGAUGGUAGCGCAAGAGGAAGAGACGGCUAACUCUGUGCCAGCAGCCGCGGUAAUACAGAGGUCUCAAGCGUUGUUCGGAAUCACUGGGCGUAAAGGGUGCGUAGGUGGCGUGGCAAGUCAGAUGUGAAAGCCCGGGGCUCAACCUCGGAACUGCAUCCGAUACUGCCAUGCUAGAGUACUGGAGAGGUGACUAGAAUUCUCGGUGUAGCAGUGAAAUGCGUAGAUAUCGAGGAAUACCAAAGGCGUAGGCAGGUCACUGGACAGUUACUGACACUGAGGCACGAAGGCCAGGGGAGCGAACGGGAUUAGAUACCCUGGUAGUCC